Bacillus rossius redtenbacheri is the source of this 4750-nucleotide long non-coding RNA. RefSeq lists it as uncharacterized. The record is from RefSeq and is a predicted model, not a curated record. Lineage: Eukaryota; Metazoa; Arthropoda; Insecta; Phasmatodea; Bacillidae. The transcript is spliced from 2 exons.
AAAACGCGAAAAGUAAGUACAUUCGCGAAAACCACAACAUUUCUAUAUUACACUGCGAAUAUAUCCCCGAAAAGUACCAUUACAGUAGAAUCCCGCCGAUGCGAGCCCCCUCUGAUGCGUCCAUUCCGUUUAUAUUGUCACGGUCUGAAAAUUUCAUUACCUUUUUUUCUUAAAUUUUAUUGUAAUUUUGUUUCUCGUCAGGUUUACGUGUUGGUGUACGUGCACGUUUCCAGGCUCGGCCGGUUGAUUUCGACACGCGGGUAUGGGAAUAUAGGUUGCUGCGACAUUAGUUUACAGGCACCGCGGGCUUUUGCGAAGCUGCGUGGUUAGCUAAUUCUCGCGGGUUGCUGGCCAGGGCCCGCUGAGAGGUUGCAACACGCCGUUCCAGAAAAACCUGCUACGCUACGCUAGUCUCUUGUUUGUCGCGCGAGGCUUUUGAGUACGCGUUUCGAGGACUCUGUCCUGAUUAGUGAUGCCAUCUUGUGUCCGAGUUUGGAAACGUAGACGGAAAAAUAACAAUCGAGCAGCGCAAGAGGGAGAGGGGGAAACUCGUGCGCGCCUGCGCGGAAGGAAUAGCUGACUUCACUUGUUUUUCAUUUUUUUCCUUGUGGGAAGGGAGGGGACCGCGAGUUGCCUUGUGGAUAAGUUUUCCCGGUGCUCGUGUGUUUUUUUUUUUUGUUUUUCCGGCAUGGCCUAGUUUUGUAGUUAAAACCUCCUUCCAGGGAGGGGCCGAGGCUUUUUGCCUGGGGACCUCUCUGGAAGCCGAGUCCACGUCGGUUUGAAACAACUUUGCUUCGCCUCAAGUCAGAAGGGUAAGUGGUUGGCCAUGGCUCGUUCGCCACAAUCAUUUCUUGGACGAUCUUCGUCUUAAUCUUUUAAGUAAUAAUGUAGUAUUCCACCUCUAUUAUUUAUUAUUUGGUUUUGGGAAAAAUCGACGUCUGGUUAUAAGCAUGCAGGUAGUGGUAACUGGGAAGUAUACUAUCCUUCCGCGUAGCUGUGACGACGAGAGAACCGCCAUGUUGUAGAGAUAAUUGUUUGCCGGCUGACGUCACUUUAAUGUGUAUUUAAUGUAUUUAUUUAUUCGUUAAUCCCAUCCCAUUGUAAAAUGCUUUAUUAUUAAUUUGUUAAUCAAAUAUUUGGUUGAUUAUUAUUAUUUUUUUUUAUUAUCCUAGUGAAUAAAAUCUGUGCUUGAAUGAACUAAUCAUGUUUCUUUUCAGUACAUAAAUUAUACCCUACACUUCCUGUAUAGGGAGAAGACUUGAUCUCGAGUACCAUGCUUACCAACAGCUACCACCCCCCAAAUGUUAUAGGUUAUUUAUUGUUGUGUGUAUAGGUGUACGCGGGACGUCUGACGGAGCCCCGUCACAAGUGGUGUGAGGCGCCGAUUAAUAGUCUCUUGUAGGGUCGUUUGUGCUUUAUUUUUUUCUCUCUCUUCUCUUGUUCUUCCGAAUUUAAUAAUGUUUUAUUAUAGAGCAGUGCAAGCAGGGUCGUGUGGGAGCACGCGGCGGACGUGUUGCGUUGUGCUUCACGUAUUUUUAUUAGUAAUGUUACUGUUGUUCUGUUUAAAUUUAAUGGAUAAAAAGUUUUUGGUUUAGUUAAGUUAAGUCAGUGAGUCAGUCAGUCAGUCAUCGGGUCGUUCAGGUCACCUAUCAGGUUUUAUUAAGUUUUAAUUACGUAAAUUCUAAUGCCAGUUUAAUGAUUAAUUAAUUAAUUUUGAAAAUUAUCAUAAUUAAAUUUCGGUUAAGAAUCUAAGAGUUUGUGUGGAGUUUUUGGUUUAGGAACGAUGUUAAAACUUGUGUUAAGUAAUGUUAUAGACAGUGCUUGUUGCGGACGUGGAAAGUCAUGUGUCGUGGAGCGGUGACGAGCGGCGCGACGGUCAGCUGUGCGCUGACCUUGAGCGGUUUCCGGCCUGGCGCGACACGGCUCGGCACGGCGCGGCAAGAAUCGUUCCGGCCCGGUGUUUACCGGCCGGCUGGACGUCAGACAGAUAAGAGUUUCACAGUUAUUUUUUUUUAAUGAUUAAUUUUAUGUGCGUCAUUGACUACACCACACCGUCUAAGUUUUUUUUUUUUUUUGAGUUAACUUAAUUUUAAAGUAUUUAUUUAUGUGUCAUUAUAAUUAUUUUUGUUUUGAUAAUAAGAAUUUUUUUUUUUUUGAACUUUUCUUUUUGAAUUAUAGGAGGUACACAUUAGAAGGGAUUAGCUCUGAGAAUAGUGUGAGGUUUGUUUAUUUGUGUAGGUUAAGGGAAUGAACUCCAGGGGAACAGUUUUUGAGAUGAGAGAGUUGUUGUGAUUGUCCAGCCAUAGGAGAUGAGCUGGGACAAUUUGAGGUGUCCCUGGGAGAGUAGGGACGGUAGCGCAGACCCAUAGAAGAUGGGCUGGCUACUGGUUAAGGGUCGGGAGAACCCUGUGUUGUUAGUAGUUGGGGCAGGAGUUCCCCAUGGUAGUACCGGAAGUGGCUAUCCCGUACGGGAUAAGGGUACCACUUCAAUUAAUUUGGUUUGUGGGGUUAGAGUCCCCUGUUGUGUAGUGGGCCUAUAGGAGAUAGGCACUACAGCGAAAUUUUUGGUUGCUCUGGAGGUAAAUUCCCUGGGUUAAGUUAAGGAAUUGUUCUUAAAGUUAGGAAGUAGUGAAAUGUGAAUCAUUGUUGGAGAGUGAGUUAGUGUACCUGCCUACGUAUUAAAAUAAAUUUUAUUGAAUUAAUUUAUGAGAAAGUUUAUUGUGUUAAGGAUAAUGGAAGUGAGUUAAUUUUUUUUAAAAUUGGUUUUCUGAGUAAAGUGUUUUAAGUAAUGAAGUUAAAUAAUUAAGUGAGUGGGGACAGUUAUGAUUGAGUAUUUUUGAAUUUAUUUUGUUUAUCAUACUUGGAAUGUAAUGUUUUAAUUUGUUCUCUCAACAUAAUUAAAAUUUAAAUAAGUUUUUUUUACAGUGCCCCUUAUACAUUUAUUGACACAAGAGAUAACAGUUCAAAGUAUUUAUUUUUUUACACGAAAAUUUGUAUUUAGAUUUGUGAUACAGAGAAAUUUUUUUUUAAUGAGUUGUUUUGUUUGUGAUUGAUUCUUAUCGGUUUUGUGAAAGUAGUGUUACAGUAAUCAGUUCAGUGGUGACCUGGGACUGGCUUCAUGACUAAGAAGACUGAGCAUGGGGUUGCUGGCUGCACAUCAGAGUGAAUCUGAUGGCACCACCAGUAGCUGUUGUUUCGAGGUGUUGCUGUUUUCACCAGACGAGACCAACCAGCUGCUUGCUGCCUACAGCAUAGCAGAUUUUCACUGGGGAGACAUCCCCGAUGACAUGCUGCGAGGAAGGCAGGCUGAGGGCAGAACUGCUCUGAAGGCUGGAUCCUGGGUGUGAGCUGCAGAUCACACUUCAAGGACUCUUCUCUCCAGCUUCAACUAGGGCUGAUCUGUCCACGGUUCAUGCCUCUCCUAGUUGUAUGUCGUACGAGUAGUUUUACGAUGUGCCAGCCACCAUCGAUUCUUACAGGAAAGAAAUGUUUCCUGGGCUAUUUUGUAUUUUGUAUUGGUUUAACUUUUUCAGUUUAGACUUUGAAUGUAAUUGUUGUGGUAAAACCUAACCUUCGUGCGCUGUCUUGGUCGAGUAGGCAUUUAACUUAUAAAUUUUUGCCCCUUGGUCUUAUUCAUUGUUAGGAAUUUUUAUGGCUUGUGGGGCACAAGCCCUUGUAGACCGGGGUAAUGUCACGGUCUGAAAAUUUCAUUACUUUUUUUUCUUAAAUUUUAUUGUAAUUUUGUUUCUCGUCAGGUUUACGUGUUGGUGUACGUGCACGUUUCCAGGCUCGGCCGGUUGAUUUCGACACGCGGGUAUGGGAAUAUAGGUUGCUGCGACAUUAGUUUACAGGCACCGCGGGCUUUUGCGAAGCUGCGUGGUUAGCUAAUUCUCGCGGGUUGCUGGCCAGGGCCCGCUGAGAGGUUGCAACACGCCGUUCCAGAAAAACCUGCUACGCUACGCUAGUCUCUUGUUUGUCGCGCGAGGCUUUUGAGUACGCGUUUCGAGGACUCUGUCCUGAUUAGUGAUGCCAUCUUGCGUCCGAGUUUGGAAACGUAGACGGAAAAAUAACAAUCGAGCAGCGCAAGAGGGAGAGGGGGAAACUCGUGCGCGCCUGCGCGGAAGGAAUAGCUGACUUCACUUGUUUUUCAUUUUUUUCCUUGUGGGAAGGGAGGGGACCGCGAGUUGCCUUGUGGAUAAGUUUUCCCGGUGCUCGUGUGUUUUUUUUUUUGUUUUUCCGGCAUGGCCUAGUUUUGUAGUUAAAACCUCCUUCCAGGGAGGGGCCGAGGCUUUUUGCCUGGGGACCUCUCUGGAAGCCGAGUCCACGUCGGUUUGAAACAACUUUGCUUCGCCUCAAGUCAGAAGGGUAAGUGGUUGGCCAUGGCUCGUUCGCCACAAUCAUUUCUUGGACGAUCUUCGUCUUAAUCUUUUAAGUAAUAAUGUAGUAUUCCACCUCUAUUAUUUAUUAUUUGGUUUUGGGAAAAAUCGACGUCUGGUUAUAAGCAUGCAGGUAGUGGUAACUGGGAAGUAUACUAUCCUUCCGCGUAGCUGUGACGACGAGAGAACCGCCAUGUUGUAGAGAUAAUUGUUUGCCGGCUGACGUCACUUUAAUGUGUAUUUAAUGUAUUUAUUUAUUCGUUAAUCCCAUCCCAUUUUAAAAUGCUUUAUUAUUAAUUUGUUAAUCAAAUAUUUGGUUGAUUAUUAUUAUUUUUUUUUAUUAUCCUAGUGAAUAAAAUCUGUGCUUGAAUGAA